UGCAUCAUAUAUUCAUUAUGUUUUCCGCCUACCAAAUACUUACCCUAAUUCAUCAUCACCAGAGUGCUGUUGGGCAUUAAAGGAGAAAUGUGGUGGCUCG
This 100-nucleotide small RNA is filed under the name Pan troglodytes (chimpanzee). RNAcentral's name for it is "processed transcript". The record is from RNAcentral. RNAcentral also lists the same sequence under 1 other name. Lineage: Eukaryota; Metazoa; Chordata; Mammalia; Primates; Hominidae.